GACGAACGCUGGCGGCGUGCUUAACACAUGCAAGUCGAACGGAAAGGCCCUGCUUUUGUGGGGUGCUCGAUUGGCGAACGGGUGAGUAACACGUGAGUAACCUGCCCUUGCCUUUGGGGUAACUUCAGGAAACUGGUGCUAAUACCGGCUAGUAGCUCCUACUGUUUGGUGUGGGUUGGAAAGUUUCGGCGGUUUGGGAUGGAAUCGCGGCUUAUUAGCUCGUUGGUGGGGUAGUGGCUUACCAAGGCUUUGACGGGUAGCCGACCUGAGAGGGUGACCGGCGACAUUGGGACUGAGAUACGGCCCAGACGCCUACGGGAGGCAGCAGUGGGGAAUAUUGCCCAAUGGGCGGAAGCCUGAUGCAGCAACGCCGCGUGCGGGAUGACGGCCUUCGGGUUGUAAACCGCUUUCGCCUGUGACGAAGCGUGAGUGACGGUAAUGGGUAAAGAAGCACCGGCUAACUACGUG
This 468-nucleotide ribosomal RNA is filed under the name uncultured bacterium. RNAcentral describes it as "partial 16S ribosomal RNA". It matches the Rfam family "Bacterial small subunit ribosomal RNA", at positions 28 to 507 of the family's 1533-position model. The record is from RNAcentral.